RNAcentral lists this long non-coding RNA (631 nucleotides) under Mus musculus (house mouse). RNAcentral describes it as "long non-coding RNA chr2:61711719-61712350". Lineage: Eukaryota; Metazoa; Chordata; Mammalia; Rodentia; Muridae. The record is from RNAcentral.
AAGCCGAAGGAAGCCGGGAACCCGGAAGUACUUCUCUGCAGAGGCCUGGGCGACUCUUUUGAAUGGAAUCGGGCUGAUUCAUCGCCUGUUCUCCGAGCCAGGUCCUUGUUGAGUGUGAGGCGCUGCCCUCGCCGCCGCGUCGCCACAAGGCCAGGUAGGAUGCAGACCGCGAGCUCUCUUCAGGCGGCCUCAGCCGAGCCCCGAGGCGGGCCUGGGACGUCCGGGAGCCUGCCUCGCUAGGCCGCCUUCAAGCCUUGGGCUUUCCUGAGUCACGUUGCCCAGCCAGGUUGCCGGUGGAGUCCGGGGCCUGAUGGGAUUGCGGACCCCUUGGUCCUUUCUUCCCUCACCUCCGGGUGUCCGGCAGGGUUAGGGCUGGAUGUCAUCUCCUUGCAAACGUUUCUGCUUCCCUCUAGCUUGGGAACCUUUAACCCAUCAACUGGCAGAACCCUGUUUAUGAUCUACGUGUGUUCGUCUUUAGAUCUUCCUGUGUUGAAAAACUUCCAGUCCAGGGAAGAAAAGGAGCGAGGAUGUUCGCUUAAUCGUUUGUCCUGCUAGCUUUAAAAACCUUCAGAGAGGCAUGCUUUUAAUCCUGAAUGUUUUUAGAAUAAAGUUGGGUUAUUCCUGCUAUGCC